This 1266-nucleotide ribosomal RNA is filed under the name Triticum aestivum (bread wheat). RNAcentral's name for it is "partial small subunit ribosomal RNA". Lineage: Eukaryota; Viridiplantae; Streptophyta; Magnoliopsida; Poales; Poaceae. The record is from RNAcentral.
AUGGCUGGUGGGUGCGCAGGAGGGAGAGAAACAGUGAUGUACUACAGCGACGCACGCAUCUUUUUCUUCUCUUCUUUUGUUACCGUUGCUCGUUCGUUGGAUAUCAGAACAUCUCCAGCCGUUGUGCUCCCCAGCCGGCAUUUUUUUUUUGCUUCUUGGCCCAGAGCGCGCCACGCCUCCUGCCUGCUCGCAUGCAUCGCGACACCUCCUCCUGCUCUCUCCCUCGCUCCCUGGACGCCAUGGCUCGCUCACUCUCGCUCUCCCCCCUCUCGCUCUCUCCCGCCUCCCCGCGCCACCACCACCUCGCCGCGCCAGCUCCCGCAUCUCCGCCCGCCUCGACGCCACGGCGCGCGCAGCCGCGUCCUGUCCUCUCUCCCCUCCCCACCCUCGCAGCCCUGCGCGACUCCGCGCGGCGCGCUCCCUCAACGAGCAGCAGCCUCGCUCGAGAAGGGGGGAGACGGGAAGACGAGCAGCAGCAGCCGCUCACGCGCUCGCCUGCGCCUGGCCGCCCGACCGGAGCGCGCAGGAACCGGAUCAGCUGCCGACGGCCGACGAGCUCUUCGCCAUGGUCGGCUCGUCGCCAGGUCCGCCAUGUGGUCUCCUCAGCUUGGGGGCCUGGCCGGGCACGGGCACGGGCCCGACUUCGACCCGGUCGUCACAGCCAUGGCGAACGCGUCCAAGGUAGCCGAGCCAUCCCCCCACGGCGCCGGCGUCAAAGACCCAGCCCCCGACAUCGUCUCCGUCCCACCGACCGUGGGCAAUGGCGGGAAGCAGAAGAAGCAGGGCAAGUACGGCGCGGGGCGCGGGGCAGGUCGCCGUGGUCGCCACGCUCAGGCCGGGGCUGCCCGUGGCCGGUGCGCCCGGUGCCGAGGCCGCCCGUGGCAGGCCUCGCCACCCGCGCCCGCCCACAGCGUCGCCGGCCGCCUGGACCACGGCCGCACGCCUCGUCGACGCAGGGCUUCCCGGCCGCAUGGACCACGACUUCCUGGCCGCCGAGUCCUUGACGCUGGCCAAGACGGAGCUCCCCGGCGUGGCCUUCGGCUGCAGCGACACGAACGAGGACGACGGGUUCCUGGUGUGGAGGCGGCGAGCGAGGCGGGGAGGCGACAGGUGGGGAGGCGGGCCCACGUAGAGAAAAAGGUUGGAGAGAGAGGGAGUGGGAGGCUGAAUGUGGGCCAAACGCAUGCAAAAUCUUCUCUCUCUGCCCCCAAGAGCCCCCCGGCAGGCUGGGUUUCGCCUGCGCGCGCCGGCGCUAAUUUUCGCUAA